RNAcentral lists this microRNA precursor (64 nucleotides) under Columba livia (rock pigeon). Its description in RNAcentral is "Cli-Mir-9633_pre stem-loop". Lineage: Eukaryota; Metazoa; Chordata; Aves; Columbiformes; Columbidae. The record is from RNAcentral.
AGAGGAUGGAGCUGAAUGGGAUUUUGCUGCCUGAAAUGGUCCCAUCCAGCCCCAGUCCUGCUGC